GAUGAACGCUGGCGGCGUGCCUAAUACAUGCAAGUCGAACGCGCAGCGAAAGGUGCUUGCACCUUUCAAGCGAGUGGCGAACGGGUGAGUAACACGUGGAUAACCUGCCUCAAGGCUGGGGAUAACAUUUGGAAACAGAUACUAAUACCGAAUAAAACUUAGUAUCGCAUGAUACAAAGUUAAAAGGCGCUACGGCGUCACCUAGAGAUGGAUCCGCGGUGCAUUAGUUAGUUGGUGGGGUAAAGGCUUACCAAGACGAUGAUGCAUAGCCGAUUGGAGAGACUGAUCAGCCACAUUGGGAAUGAGACACGGCCCAAACUCCUACGGGAGGAUGCAGUAGGGAAUCUUCCACAAUGGGCGCAAGCCUGAUGGAGCAACGCCGCGUGUGUGGUGAAGGCUUUCGGGUCGUAAAGCACUGUUGUAUGGGAAGAAAUGCUAAAAUAGGGAAUGAUUUUAGUUUGACGGUACCAUACCAGAAAGGGACGGCUAAAUACGUGCCAGCAGCCGCCGUAA
RNAcentral lists this ribosomal RNA (513 nucleotides) under uncultured bacterium. Its description in RNAcentral is "partial 16S ribosomal RNA". It matches the Rfam family "Bacterial small subunit ribosomal RNA", at positions 28 to 523 of the family's 1533-position model. The record is from RNAcentral.